AAUGCUGGCCCUACCUUCUCCCCUUCCCUUGGCUUAUAGGCAAUGGGGACAGCCCAUAAAUGCUGGCUCCUUCCUCAGCAUAAUGGUUCCUUGGACUGCAUCUAAACAGACUCUAACUUUUGGGAACUGAGUUAUAACUUCACAUCUCCUCCCUCUGACCUGUUUCCUCUCAACAGCCAAGACCUCUCUGCUUCUUACUCUCAAGCUUCAAGUAGAUUUGGUGUAACUCCCAGCAGCGGUGAUGGUAAAUCCAGACCAGCUCGAGAGGCAGGACUGAGCCUGACUAAGGGCUUUGCUGGCCCCAGUCUGCCCAGUUGAGGGCUCACCACCACCAGGGGACAAAAAAGAACAGUGGCUCAGCAGCUCCUGCCAUUGACGUCUAUGCAUGAGGGAGUCAACUGGCACUGUACUCCAUGUUGAACUGUAAAAGUAAAAAUGUUUUCCCAGUCAAGUUAGGGUUGGUCUCUCUCACCCACA
Molecule: long non-coding RNA, 477 nt
Filed under: Bos taurus (domestic cattle)
Lineage: Eukaryota; Metazoa; Chordata; Mammalia; Artiodactyla; Bovidae
Description: long non-coding RNA NONBTAT013620
Source: RNAcentral